AUGCUGAACCGGCCCUUCACCGACGGCGCGUAUCCCUCCGGCUUCACCUUCGGCAGCUACUACAUGAUCUGGGUGCGCCAGAGCCCCGGGAAGGGGCUGGAAUGGCUCGCUUCGAUCAGCACUGGUGGUGGUUACACCUACUACGCGCCGUCGGUGAAGGGCCGGUUCAGCAUCGCCAGGGACAACGGGCAGAGCUCGGUGACGCUGCAGAUGAACAACCUCAGGGACGAGGAUUCCGCCACCUAUUUCUGUGCCAGGGAUGAUGAUGGUAGUGCUAGUUGGGGUGGUGAUAUCGACCCCCUUGGUGGGGUCCCCAAACCUCCCCAGACUCUCCCCUCAAAGCUCCGCCCCUCCCACCCAAAUCUGAACCGAUGA
Molecule: non-coding RNA, 375 nt
Organism: Empidonax traillii (willow flycatcher)
Lineage: Eukaryota; Metazoa; Chordata; Aves; Passeriformes; Tyrannidae
Source: the annotation of a RefSeq genome assembly